RNAcentral lists this unclassified non-coding RNA (1138 nucleotides) under Leishmania donovani. RNAcentral's name for it is "gene:LdHU3.18.0130(CDS-product:ARF-like_2-binding _protein_putative)". Lineage: Eukaryota; Euglenozoa; Kinetoplastea; Trypanosomatida; Trypanosomatidae. The record is from RNAcentral.
ACUCUCCUUAUAAUAUCGAUAGAGCAUUCUACCGCCUGCCUUCCCCUCCGCCGUGCUUGCACGUUGCAUUCAUGGACACGGAGGAGGGCGAGUUCAUCAUCUGCGGCAACGGCGGCUCGUCCGAGGAUGCGGCUUUCGACGCCGUUGUCGGCGUCAUCGAAGAUUUUAUGAUUUCCUUUGACCCCGAGCAGGUAUGGCAGUCGGUGCCACCCCUGCACACCGUCUCGGGUGAUCAUGAUCAGCACACUGUGUACACAUCCUUCUUAGAGAAAGUAGAUCAGGAACUUGACGCGCACGUGCUCGCUGCGUGUCCAGAGUAUAAAUCAAUUGAAGAAGUCGUUACGCUGCUGCAGAAACGUCACGAGGACAUCACGGAGGAGGUAUGGGCUUUUGUGAGUGAAGGAUGCUUCGACUACGAGGCGUUUAUGGAGCAAUGGAAAGAAAAGCGGCCGUAGACAUCCUCGGGUCGCAUCUCAUUUCUGGCUGAUUGCACUUUGAGCGUAGCGUGCACCCCUACCCUUGUUCAAGUAGCACCGCAACAGACCUAGCGGCGAUGCGCGCCAAUGACAGAGAGAGACGCAACAUCUGUUUCUCCGAGUACCACGAAAAGAAGGAAAGAAAGCGUCCGCCAACGGUUCACUACUGCACGGAGUCGAGGGCGCCUGUGAAGUGUGUGUUUCGGCCUGUCCGCACUUCGUCAUCUGUCACUGUGCGCUACCACUGUUCGGAGAGCCGCGUGAGCAGCGUCUCGCCGUCGCCGGCGUUGCCUCCAGGACCGGGAGUGGCACGAGAACUGUGUGCUGGCAGAACCCCUUUUUCUCUCUCGCUGCUUCUCGGACUCCGUUGCCGUUUCUGCCGUCUAUCUAUCUUUCUGUUUCUCUCGCACGUGUUUUGGGCUGCCCGUCUUUAAUGGAUAUUCCCCGUCUCUUCGUCGUUUUGUGCGUCCUUGCUACACUGUUUGUGUGUGCGCAUGCUUGGAUGCGCAAGCCUCGUAGCCCCGAGCACGAUCGUGCUACGUGAUCAGAUGGAUAGGUGGCACCAUCACCAUCGCUGUCGUGUGGUAUUUGAUGCUGUGCGUGAGCCGCUCUAUCAUAUACGUGCAUAUAUAUAUAUACAUACGUAUUGAGAGUUUGUCCUG